GAUGAACGCUGGCGGCGUGCCUAAUACAUGCAAGUCGAGCGAACAGACGAGGAGCUUGCUCCUCUGACGUUAGCGGCGGACGGGUGAGUCACACGUGGAUAACCUACCUAUAAGACUGGGAUAACUUCGGGAAACCGGAUCUAAUACCGGAUAAUAUAUUGAACCGCAUGGUUCAUUGGUGAAAGACGGUUUUUGUGGAACUUAUAGAUGGAUCCGCGCCGCAUUAGAUAGUUGGUAGGGUCACGGCUUUCCAAGGCUACUAGGCGUGACCGACCGGAGAGAGGGAUCGCCCACACGGGAACGGAACCGGGGACCAGAGGACUAAGGGAGGCAGCAGAAGGGAAUGUGGGGCAGUGGUCGAGAGUAUGACGGAGCAAGGGGGAGUGUGAGACGAAGGCCCCGGGAGCGUAAAGCUGUGUUACUGGGGAAAAACCGCUGUGUCCUGAGACAUGGCGGGAGUGACGGUACUUAAUAAAGAAGCAACGGCUAACUACGUG
RNAcentral lists this ribosomal RNA (497 nucleotides) under uncultured bacterium. Its description in RNAcentral is "partial 16S ribosomal RNA". It matches the Rfam family "Bacterial small subunit ribosomal RNA", at positions 28 to 507 of the family's 1533-position model. The record is from RNAcentral.